GAACCAGUUUAAGUCAGAUGAAUA
Molecule: non-coding RNA, 24 nt
Filed under: Mus musculus (house mouse)
Lineage: Eukaryota; Metazoa; Chordata; Mammalia; Rodentia; Muridae
Source: RNAcentral